This 289-nucleotide ribosomal RNA is filed under the name uncultured bacterium. Its description in RNAcentral is "partial 16S ribosomal RNA". It matches the Rfam family "Bacterial small subunit ribosomal RNA", at positions 20 to 312 of the family's 1533-position model. The record is from RNAcentral.
UGGCUCAGAACGAACGCUGGCGGCAUGCUUUACACAUGCAAGUCGAACGGUAACAGGCCUUCGGGCGCUGACGAGUGGCGAACGGGUGAGUAAUGCAUCGGAACGUGCCCAGUCGUGGGGGAUAACGCAGCGAAAGCUGUGCUAAUACCGCAUACGAUCUGCGGAUGAAAGCGGGGGACCUUCGGGCCUCGCGCGAUUGGAGCGGCCGAUGUCAGAUUAGGUAGUUGGUGGGGUAAAGGCCUACCAGGAAAGACGAUCUGUAGCUGGUCUGAGAGGACGACCAGCCACA